Long non-coding RNA from Sceloporus undulatus (fence lizard), 1824 nucleotides. RefSeq lists it as uncharacterized. The transcript is spliced from 5 exons. Lineage: Eukaryota; Metazoa; Chordata; Lepidosauria; Squamata; Phrynosomatidae. The record is from RefSeq and is a predicted model, not a curated record.
GGUCUCUGCUUUGCAGGAGGGAGACGUCCCUCUCUCUCUUGCAUUCAGGAGACUCCAGCUGAGGGUCUUCUCCUGGAAGAAGACCUUGGAGGUGGUCUCCAUCUCUGGUCCCUUCUGGGCUUACCAUCCAUCUGUCCGUCUCACUCUAGUUGGAGGGAUGGGACUUUGAUUAUUACGAUGAUGAUUAUUUUGGAGGGGAACGAGAUGGUCCUGAUUCCUUCCAGUCCUGAGGAUUUUGAGCUCUGAGCUUCAGGAACAUCAGAUGAUGAUGGAAGAGCCAGCCGCCUGCAUUUGCCUCCUCCUCUCCAGGUCCAGCUUUUGGAGAGAGAGAACCCAAAAGAGAAAGAGAGAGAGAAAGACCUCAAGCCUUGGAAGAGGGAGGGCUGUUUCUGUCUUUGGUUAUCUAGCUGUAUGAGUGUUAUCAAGCCAUCAUAAAGCUAGAUAACCGAAAGUAGAAAUGACUUCCACAGACAACUAGGAGAUGGAGAAGAGGAGAAAGAAGGAGGGGGAAAAAGAGGAGAGGAAAAAUGUCCGGGCAAUUGGAGAACCAAAAACAGCUAUUUUGGAGAAGAUCAAGCUAUGGACCAACCUGAUCCGACUGGCAUUCAAGAAAAUCCUGACAUCAGAUCCCCAAUCCAGACAUGACUGACAAAACCCUUAGCUUGGGAUGCACUGGAGAAAGCAAGACGAGAAGAUGCGUCAUCUUCUUUCUCUGAGCCUGAAAAGAGGCUGUGCGACAUUCUGCUGCCGAGAUAAGAAACUCCCAAUUCGGCAUGAGCAGCAACAGCAACGAAGACGGAGGGCCACGGAGGGCAUCUUGGGUUUAAUUCCCUUGCCCUAGUUGUUCCUCCGUGUGCUCCUCUCCCCUCCUUCAAAGCUCACCGGUGCCAUGUGGUGCCCUCAAAGAACAAGCACGGAAGGUGGAGGCACUGUGUGUGAGGGAGACUGAGAGAAAGAGAAAGAGGGAGUGACAGAAGGGCAUCCUUUCCCUGGCAAGACCCUCUCCGCUACUCCAGGCCACCCUGCUUCCUCGAUGUCAGGAAGCCAUUUUGAUGGAGCCAAACGCCGUUUUGUAAGAUGGCCGCAUUGACAUGAGGCUCCCAUUAUGAAGAAUUCCACAAAUUUGGAAGACAUUGAUUUCUUGGUCUGACUUGCUACAGAUGAAGGCUCACCUGCUUUUCUCGUUUCAUGGAGGAAUGGAUUUUUGUGUCUGCUAUCUUCUGUAUGCCAGACAUGAAGAGUUUUCUUAGGAUGCUGAGACUUACAUUUUCCAAAUUGCCUAAUUUGGCAGGAAGGCAAGACAAAGGAACUCCUUACUGAGUAUCUGAAAGAAGCAGAGUGCAUUCUCCAUCUUUCUAGGAUUUGGCCUUCUUGGUUGUAUUGGAUCAUAUAUAGGAAAAUCAGAAGUUUCUCCUGCACCAUCUCUGUAAAGCUAGAUGCUGAAGGAAGGGGAAAUCUGAAUUAGAAUCGUCGUCUGUAGUUGUUGAUGUUAUAAUAUGAUGUUACUGAGAUGACUUGUGACUCAAUAAAGAUACAGGGAUCUUGACGAUGUCAAGGAAGAUGGUUCCAUCUUGCUUUCAGCAAAAGUGUAUUGGCAUCAUAAAAUGACCUGCAACAUUGGUCAGUGUUUUGUUCUUUUUUUCUUUUUGGGCUUCUCUACAACCGAGGCUGUUUCUUUUCCACAUUAUUUCCCACAAAACAUAAGCAUAAAGUGAAGCAGGAGAUAGGUAUCUACUCUGCAAUGGGCCCAAAUAGACCGGCCAAAAUAAAGCUGCUUCCGGUCAUUUUGGAGGUAUGCUGUUUAAAUGAUGCAUGCGUCCUAAG